NGAGAACCCGAUGUGGGGUUCGAUCCCAGGACCCUGGGAUCAUGACCUGAGCUGAAGGCAGAGGCUUAACCCACUGAGCCACCCAGGCGCCCCAUCCUUGGAACAUUCUUGAAUACGCUUUGGUUUUUUUUCAUUCUCAUUUUGUCUAUCAUUGUCAUUUUGGUGUCGGCACCAAAAUGUGCCUUUGAGCAACCACCCUAGUAUUCUCAGCCUGUGUUCAGGUGGCAUCGACCUCACUUUGUGAUUCCAUGGGUGGGCACAUCUCCAAAUCCUGGCCUUUGAGAGUGCAGCAUCUCCCCAAAUUUAGUGAUUGUUUCAAGGGUGAAUACAUGAUCAGCUGAGCCGAUCAAAGCCAAUAAAUGGCAGCAUUGCUGGGCCCAGAGAAGAAGAGAUACUUAUUUUUUAGUGAGAGUUUCUAAUGUUACAGAUAAAGAACUGGACCUGUUGGUGGCUUGUCCAAACAACACUUAAGAAUCGACCUUAGAGUGAAAGCAACAUAGGUAAAAUCAGAAGCCACAGACAGGCAGGAUUUGGGGACCUGGAUCCGGCUAUGUCUGAAGUCAGUCUCGGACUAUUGAGUCACAUGAGUCAGUCAUUUUCACUUUUUUCCCCAUCAUUGCCCAUUAAAUGAAUAAAGUAGUGACCAGAAGGAGAGUUAACUUCAUACCAGGAUCAAAACCACCAGAGCUCAAGGGUAAAAUGGCCUGUUUGAAACGCAUGCCCUCGGAAUGUUCGUGCAUUUUGAAGAAGGAGCACAAGUAGCUGUGACCUACAGCCACAUCUUUAUUCCUCCUCCAGAUUCGUGCAGAAGCGGCUCACUCUCCAGUUCCCAUGGACCUUAACACAACCUCCUUUGAAGGAUGAAUGUAGCGCGGACUAUGGGGAGAAUCUGCUGCCCAAGGAAGGCAAUGGCUUGGGGCCACAAGAAGUGCAGUGUCCAGAGCCUGGGCCCCAGGAGGCAAGAGCUACAGGUGUCAAAGACAGAUGCCAAGGGGACCCGGUUCUGUGGCAGCCAGUGGUGAGCUCUGAGAGGUGCAGGACAGCAGCCACACAUCAGCUCUCCGUGCUCUCUCCCCUUUGCUCAUCCCUCCUUUUUCUGGGAAAUCCUUAACAAACUGAGCCCAGAAUAGACAAAGGGGAGUGGCUGUGGGUCCUGUCACUUUGCCUGCUGUUGGCCUUUGGUCUGGGUACUCACACCCCCAGGCCCAGCUGCAUCUACUCCCAACAGGUACACUGUGUCAGCUCCAAUGACCCGUGAAGGUCAUCAUGAUUAAACAACCAGAAGAUGUAAAUGAUGACACUUCUCCCAGGAGGAAAUCACCUCUAAAUGACAAAUAUGGCUGCCAUUGAGGGCGUAAAAAAAGAAAUUUUGUACAAUGAUGCUCAUCACACUUAAAACAGCAAAAUUUGCAGACUUAUUUUCCAACAAGAGGAAAACUGUUGAAUAACUAAUGGUAUAAUAUUUAUGUAUUAUAAAUAUUUAACCAAAUAGGUUGGGUGGAAAAAUUUUAAUGACAUGGGGCAAUGUUCAUGAAGUUAAAUUUUUUUUAAGGCAGAGUACAGAACAAGGUAAACAGGACAACCUCAAAUUGUUAAAAAGCAAAAUGAAGGGGCACCUGGAUAACUCAGUGGGUUAAAGCCUCUGCCUUCAGCUCAGGUCAUAAUCCCAGGGUUUGGGGAUUGAGCACACACCCCCCACCCCUCCCCCUCUGCUCUGCAGGGAGCCUGCUUUCUCCUCUCUUUCUGCCUGUCUCUCUGCCUACUUGUGAAAUCUGUCUGUCAAAUAAAAAAAUUAAAAAAAGAAGAAGCAGAAAAACAGGUACUUCAAAAUGCUAAGAGAAUUUCUCUUUGGUUGGAUGUUAUUUUUCUUUUUU
RNAcentral lists this long non-coding RNA (1874 nucleotides) under Mustela putorius furo (domestic ferret). Its description in RNAcentral is "lncRNA (ENSMPUG00000030923.1)". The record is from RNAcentral. Lineage: Eukaryota; Metazoa; Chordata; Mammalia; Carnivora; Mustelidae.